Molecule: ribosomal RNA, 253 nt
Filed under: uncultured bacterium
Lineage: Bacteria
Description: partial 16S ribosomal RNA
Rfam family: Bacterial small subunit ribosomal RNA
Source: RNAcentral
UACGUAGGGGGCGAGCGUUGUCCGGAAUUAUUGGGCGUAAAGAGCGUGUAGGCGGUUCGGUAAGUCUGCCGUGAAAACCUGGGGCUCAACCCCGGGCGUGCGGUGGAUACUGCCGGGCUAGAGGGUGGUAGAGGCGAGUGGAAUUCCCGGUGUAGCGGUGAAAUGCGCAGAUAUCGGGAGGAACAUCAGUAGCGAAGGCGGCUCGCUGGGCCAUUCCUGACGCUGAGACGCGAAAGCUAGGGGAGCGAACAGG